Non-coding RNA from Bactrocera oleae (olive fruit fly), 727 nucleotides. NCBI's taxonomy places the organism in Eukaryota, Metazoa, Arthropoda, Insecta, Diptera, Tephritidae. The record is from RefSeq and is a predicted model, not a curated record.
AUCCAAUGCAAUUUCCUAUUUCAUUCACAUAAAUAUACUGCUUUCCUAUUCUACUACUAAUAUUUAAAAAAAGUGAAGUUCCAGCGGCAUGUGAAUUCACCCUUAUAGACUUUAGUAGUUCUAGGGUCACACCUUUCGCAAAUUGUUAUCGAAAAGUUCUUUAUACGAAUCUCGAAUUGCGGUCUCUAAAAGAUACCGCUAUAUCGGUCUCUUUCUUUUAUAUUGAAUUCGUAUUUGGCAUUCUCUGCACAAUAUUGUUAGUGAAAGUCCUUUAUUCUCGUAUCUUUUGAGCAACAAUUUAGUUAACAUCGGGGAUUCCCAUUAAACUGCAUUUAACUUAUGCUUGAUAAUCAACAAGUGGAUUUUAUUUGAAUGCAGUCUUCUUAAACCUAUUUACAAUGCCGGGAUUAUCUUGCGUUAUUUGUUCGGAAAUUUAUAAAGAUAGUGAUAUUCUAUGUAGCACAUCUUGUGGGCACGUCUUCCAUUUUCAUUGUAUGCAACAAUGGCAAUCGCGCGCGACCGAGGGCCUCCAAUGCUGAAAGGAGUUCGACGCAAAAUAAUAUAUAACUUAUCUGCCCCAAGUAUUUGGAGAUGGUUAAGUGGUUAGGAAAAUGAGGAUACCACAGCAAAAUUUAAACCACUGUGCUACAGCACAAGAUCUACUGAAACAGAAAAUAUUUUAAAAACACAAAAAAAACAUUCAUGUCGCCCUACUAAGCGAGCAAUA